GAAAGAGAGGGAGGGGUAGAUGGGAAGUACAACUGCUCCUCCCUGCUAAUUGCUAUGCCUAUAUGUUGAAUGGAAGGAAAGGGAAAGAAGGAGAGCAGGAGGGUGCGGUGUAGCGUGGCGGGGGCAGGUACCACGUGCAGGGUCUCAUUAAAAGCCGUUAAAUCUUGAAGGCCCACCUCUCUAACUCAAACCUAACACUCUGCAAUUCCCAUUAAACUAGUUCAACACACUCGCAAGCAUUUCAAGAUUGUGAAUGUACGCCGAAACGCAUCUCUCCAACCAUAACAUUCAACAUUCUUUUGGGUUCUGCUUGAUUUUUUUUUUCUUGCACUCUUUGCAUCUAGAUUCCAACUAAUGUUUUCUUACCCUUAAACCCAAUUCAGUUCAAUUUGAUACCACCUUCCAAUAUUUCGGUUCGCCUCCAGCAUGUUGGAAGCGCAAAGGAGACCACCAGUGCCUGUGGGUGUUGCUCAUGGCAAUGGUUACAUAAAUGGAUUGGUCUCAACUAGGAGCCCUGCUACAAUAUCUGAAGUGGAUGAAUUCUGCUAUGCUCUUGGAGGGAAGAGGCCAAUCCAUAGUAUUUUAAUUUCAAACAAUGGAAUGGCAGCUGUCAAGUUUAUACGUAGUAUUAGGACAUGGGCUUAUGAAACAUUUGGCACUGAGAAGGCAAUCUUGUUGGUGGCCAUGGCAACUCCAGAAGACAUGAGAAUCAAUGCUGAGCAUAUUAGAAUUGCUGAUCAGUUUGUGGAAGUUCCUGGUGGGACAAAUAAUAACAACUAUGCCAAUGUGCAGCUCAUCGUAGAGAUGGCAGAGAUAACUCGUGUUGAUGCUGUUUGGCCUGGUUGGGGCCAUGCAUCUGAGAAUCCUGAACUGCCAGAUGCACUGAAUGCUAAGGGGAUUUUAUUUCUCGGGCCACCAGCUAUUUCAAUGGCAGCACUAGGCGAUAAAAUUGGCUCAUCUUUGAUUGCUCAAGCAGCAGAUGUCCCUACUCUUCCAUGGAGUGGUUCUCACGUGAAAAUCUCUCCAGAAAGUUGUUUGAUUACCAUCCCAGAUGAGGUAUACAGGGAAGCAUGUGUAUAUACAACAGAGGAAGCAAUUGCAAGCUGUCAAGUUGUUGGUUACCCUGCAAUGAUCAAGGCAUCGUGGGGUGGUGGCGGUAAAGGCAUAAGAAAGGUUCAUAAUGAUGAUGAAGUUAGGGCAUUGUUCAAGCAAGUUCAGGGUGAAGUUCCAGGAUCACCCAUAUUUAUAAUGAAGGUUGCUUCCCAGAGUCGGCAUUUAGAAGUCCAGUUACUCUGUGAUCAGUAUGGAAAUGUAGCAGCUUUGCAUAGCCGUGAUUGCAGUGUUCAGAGGCGGCACCAAAAGAUAAUUGAGGAGGGUCCAAUUACUGUUGCGCCUCUGGAGACAGUCAAAAAGCUAGAGCAAGCAGCUCGAAGGUUAGCAAAAUGUGUGAAUUAUGUUGGAGCAGCUACCGUUGAGUAUUUGUACAGUAUGGACACUGGAGAGUAUUACUUCUUGGAGCUCAAUCCUCGGUUGCAGGUGGAGCACCCUGUCACUGAGUGGAUUGCUGAAAUAAAUUUGCCAGCAGCCCAGGUAGCUGUUGGGAUGGGAAUUCCUCUCUGGCAUAUUCCUGAGAUAAGGCGAUUUUAUGGAAUGGAACAUGGUGGAGGAUAUGAUGCUUGGAGGAAAACUUCAGUGGUUGCUACCCCUUUCGAUUUUGACCAGGCAGAGUCUACAAGGCCAAAAGGUCAUUGUGUCGCUGUGCGUGUAACAAGUGAGGAUCCAGAUGAUGGUUUUAAGCCUACAAGUGGAAAAGUACAGGAGCUAAGUUUCAAAAGCAAGCCAAAUGUGUGGGCUUACUUCUCUGUUAAGUCUGGUGGAGGCAUUCAUGAAUUCUCAGAUUCUCAAUUUGGACAUGUUUUUGCAUUUGGGGAGUCAAGAGCUUUGGCUAUAGCAAAUAUGGUCCUUGGGCUGAAAGAAAUUCAAAUUCGAGGAGAGAUUCAUACUAAUGUUGACUACUCAGUUGACCUUCUACACGCUUCAGAUUAUAGGGACAACAAAAUCCACACAGGUUGGUUGGACAGUAGAAUUGCAAUGCGGGUUAGAGCAGAAAGGCCCCCUUGGUACCUCUCUGUUGUUGGAGGGGCUCUGUAUAAAGCAUCUGCUAGCAGUGCAGCGAUGGUUUCAGAUUAUGUUGGUUACCUUGAAAAGGGACAAAUUCCUCCCAAGCACAUAUCACUUGUAAACUCUCAAGUUUCGUUGAACAUUGAAGGAAGUAAAUACAUGAUUGAGAUGGUUAGAGGGGGCCCAGGAAGCUAUAGAUUGAAGAUGAAUAAGUCAGAGAUUGAAGCAGAGAUACAUACUUUACGUGACGGGGGUUUAUUGAUGCAGUUGGAUGGAAACAGUCAUGUGAUAUAUGCAGAGGAUGAAGCAGCUGGAACAUGCCUUCUUAUUGAUGGAAGGACUUGCUUGCUACAGAAUGAGCAUGAUCCAUCAAAGUUAGUGGCAGAGACACCAUGCAAGCUGCUGAGGUAUUUGGUUUCAGAUGGUAGUCAUAUUGAAGCUGAUAAUCCUUAUGCGGAGGUUGAAGUUAUGAAGAUGUGCAUGCCUCUUCUAUCACCGGCUUCUGGAGUAAUUCAAUUUAAAUUGUCCGAAGGUCAAGCAAUGCAGGCUGGUGAGCUUAUAGCACGGCUUGAUCUUGAUGAUCCUUCAGCUGUGCGAAAGGCUGAACCUUUUCAUGGUAGCUUCCCAGUACUGGGGCCUCCAACUGCUAUUUCUGGUAAAGUUCAUCAGAAAUGUGCUGCAAGUCUAAAUGCAGCUCGCAUGAUUCUUGCAGGCUAUGACCAUAAUAUUGACGAAGUUGUACAAAACUUGCUCAAUUGUCUUGAUAGUCCUGAACUUCCUUUCCUUCAAUGGCAAGAAUGCUUGUCUGUUUUGGCUACUCGCCUUCCCAGAGAUCUUAGAAAUGAGUUGGAAUCAAAAUAUAGGGAGUUUGAGGGGAUUUCAAGCUCUCAAAACACAGACUUUCCUGCCAAAUUGUUAAGGGGUGUUCUUGAGGCCCAUCUUUCCUCCUGUCCUGAAAAGGAAAAAGGAGCCCAGGAAAGGCUUGUUGAACCUUUGAUGAGUCUGGUAAAGUCUUAUGAGGGAGGACGGGAGAGUCAUGCCCUCAUCAUCGUGCAAUCACUUUUUGCAGAGUAUUUAUCAGUUGAAGAAUUGUUCAGUGACAACAUCCAGGCUGAUGUGAUUGAACGUCUUAGACUUCAAUACAAGAAAGAUCUAUUGAAGGUUGUGGACAUUGUCCUUUCUCAUCAGGGUGUCAGGAGCAAAAAUAAGUUGAUACUACGGCUCAUGGAACAACUGGUUUAUCCUAAUCCUGCUGCAUACAGGGAUAAACUAAUCCGGUUCUCUCAACUCAACCAUAUAAAUUAUUCUGAGUUGGCACUGAAGGCAAGUCAACUGUUGGAACAAACGAAACUGAGUGAACUUCGUUCUACCAUUGCUAGAACCCUUUCUGAAUUGGAGAUGUUUACGGAGGAUGGUGAAAAUAUGGAUACUCCCAAGAGGAGAAGUGCCAUUAAUGAACGAAUGGAGGACCUUGUGAGUGCUCCUUUGGCUGUUGAAGAUGCCCUCGUGGGUCUGUUUGAUCACAGUGAUCACACUCUUCAAAGACGGGUAGUGGAAACUUAUGUUCAAAGGCUAUAUCAGGUACCGUAUUUCAACUUUCUUGAUUUUAGUAGUAGACAAUCAUUUCUUCACUUUCCUGUUUGUAUAUGUCAUCAGCCCUAUCUUGUAAGGGAUAGUGUCAGGAUGCAGUGGCAUAGAUCUGGUCUUAUUGCUUCAUGGGAAUUCAUGGAAGAGCAUAUUGGGAGAAAGAAUGGCUCUGAAGAAAUGUCAGAUGAAUCAGUGGUGGAGAAACACUGCAACAGGAAAUGGGGAGCCAUGGUUAUCAUCAAAUCUCUGCAAUUUUUGCCCACAAUUAUUAGUGCUGCAUUAAGGGAAACAACUCAUACCCACCAUGAAGCCAUUCCAAAUGGAUCUUUAGAACCAGCUAACUUCGGUAAUAUGAUGCAUAUUGCAUUAGUGGGCAUCAACAACCAGAUGAGUCUGCUUCAGGAUAGUGGUGAUGAGGAUCAGGCUCAAGAAAGAAUAAACAAAUUAGCCAAAAUUCUUAAAGAGCAAGAAGUAGGCUCCAAUUUACGCACAGCAGGUGUUGGGGUUAUUAGUUGCAUCAUACAAAGGGACGAAGGGAGAGCACCUAUGAGGCACUCCUUUCACUGGUCAUCAGAAAAGCUCUAUUAUGAGGAAGAACCUCUAUUGCGACAUCUAGAACCUCCACUAUCCAUCUACCUUGAAUUGGACAAACUUAAAGGUUAUGGCAAUAUACAAUAUACUCCAUCACGGGACAGACAAUGGCACUUGUACACUGUUGUAGACAAGCCAGUGCCAAUCCAGAGGAUGUUUCUUAGAACCCUUGUUAGGCAGCCCACAACAAAUGAAGGGCUUACUGCAUAUCAGGGGCUGGGCAUAGAAGCACCCCGUGCACAGUGGGCUAUGUCCUUUACGUCAAGGAGCAUUUUGAGGUCCUUAGUGGCUGCAAUGGAGGAGUUGGAGCUUAGUGUGCACAAUGCUACUGUCAAAUCUGAGCAUGCUCAUAUGUACCUCUGUAUCUUACGGGAACAACGAUUAGAUGACCUUGUGCCGUACCCCGGGAGAGUUGAUAUUGAUGCUGGCCAGGAAGAAGCUGCAGUAAAUAGAAUCUUGGAAGAACUGGCUAGGGAAAUGCAUGCAUCAGUUGGUGUAAGAAUGCACAGGUUAAAUGUUUGUGAGUGGGAAGUGAAGCUCUGGAUGUCAUCAUCUGGACAAGCAAAUGGUGCUUGGAGAGUUGUCAUCACAAAUGUAACUGGUCACACCUGUGCUGUACAUAUAUACCGGGAACUAGAGGAUACCUGCAAACGAGGAGUGGUGUACCAUUCGAUCUCUGUACAUGGUCCUCUGCAUGGUGUAAUGGUAAAUGCAGUCUAUCAGCCCUUAGGAGUUCUUGAUCGGAAACGUUUGUUGGCAAGGAGAAGCAACACCACUUACUGCUAUGAUUUUCCAUUGGCAUUUGAGACAGCCUUGGAACAAAUAUGGGCAUCCCAGUUAAAUGGAGGUGGAAAACCUAAGGAUAAUAUUCUUCUCAAAGUCACAGAGCUUGUAUUUGCUGAUCAGAAAGGUAGCUGGGGCACUCGUCUUGUUCCUGUGGAGCGCCCAGCUGGACUGAAUGAUGUUGGCAUGGUAGCAUGGAGCAUGGAAAUGUCUACCCCUGAGUUCCCUUCUGGAAGGACAAUAUUGAUAGUAGCAAAUGAUGUGACCUUCAAAGCUGGGUCUUUUGGACCAAGAGAGGAUGCAUUUUUCUUUGCAGUAACUGAUCUUGCUUGCACUAAAAAGUUGCCAUUAAUUUAUUUGGCAGCAAACUCUGGUGCCCGAAUUGGAGUUGCUGAGGAAGUCAAGUCCUGCUUUAAAGUUGGUUGGUCGGAUGAAUCAUGCCCCGAGCGUGGUUUUCAAUAUGUAUAUUUGAGCCCUGAGGAUUACACUCGCAUUGGAUCAUCUGUGAUAGCGCAUGAGUUGAAGCUGACUAAUGGAGAAACCAGAUGGGUGAUAGAAGCCAUUGUUGGCAAGGAGGAUGGCCUGGGGGUAGAGAACUUAUCUGGAAGUGGGGCCAUUGCGAGUGCAUAUUCUAGGGCAUACAAGGAAACCUUUACCUUAACAUAUGUGACUGGUAGAACAGUGGGAAUUGGUGCUUAUUUAGCUCGGCUUGGGAUGCGGUGCAUACAGAGGCUUGAUCAGCCCAUUAUUUUGACUGGUUUCUCUGCAUUGAACAAACUCCUUGGCCGUGAGGUCUACAGCUCUCACAUGCAACUUGGUGGACCUAAAAUAAUGGCAACCAAUGGAGUAGUGCAUCUUACUGUCUCAGAUGAUCUAGAAGGCGUUUCUGCUAUUUUGAAGUGGCUAAGUUGUAUUCCUCCUUGUAUUGGUGGAACACUUCCAAUUCUAAGCCCUUCAGAUCCUACUGAAAGGCCUGUGGAGUACUUCCCAGAAAACUCAUGUGACCCUCGUGCUGCUAUUUGUGGUGCUUCGGACAGCAGUGGGAAGUGGCUUGGGGGUAUUUUUGACAGGGAUAGUUUUAUUGAGACUUUGGAAGGUUGGGCAAGGACAGUUGUGACAGGAAGGGCAAAGCUUGGAGGAAUCCCUGUUGGAAUAAUUGCUGUUGAAACACAAACUGUAAUGCAAGUGAUUCCUGCUGACCCAGGACAGCUUGAUUCUCAUGAGAGGGUUGUCCCCCAGGCUGGACAAGUAUGGUUUCCAGAUUCUGCAACCAAAACAGCUCAAGCAAUAUUGGAUUUCAACAGAGAAGAGCUUCCACUUUUCAUUCUUGCAAACUGGAGAGGCUUUUCGGGUGGACAGAGGGAUCUUUUUGAAGGUAUCCUUCAGGCAGGUUCGACCAUAGUUGAGAACCUUAGGACAUACAAGCAACCUGUUUUUGUGUACAUCCCCAUGAUGGGUGAGCUUCGAGGUGGGGCAUGGGUUGUUGUGGACAGUCAGAUCAAUUCAGAUCACAUUGAAAUGUAUGCUGAUCGAACAGCAAAAGGUAAUGUCCUUGAGCCUGAAGGAAUAAUUGAGAUCAAGUUCAGAACAAAGGAGCUGCUUGAGUGCAUGGGUCGGCUUGACCAACAGCUGAUCGCUAUGAAGGCAAAACUUCAGGAAGCCAGGAAUAGCAGAAAUUCUGGAAUGGUUGAAUCUGUGCAACAACAGAUAAAAUCUCGUGAAAAGCAACUUUUACCAGUGUACACUCAGAUAGCCACCAGAUUUGCAGAGCUUCAUGAUUCUUCCCUAAGGAUGGCUGCAAAAGGGGUGAUCAGAGAAGUUGUGGACUGGGAAAGAUCCCGUGGUUACUUUUACAAAAGGUUGUGUAGGAGAAUUGCUGAGGUUUCACUGAUCAAGACUCUGAAAGAUGCAGCUGGUGACCAGCUGUCACACAAAACUGCAAUGGACUUGAUCAAAAAGUGGUUCUUGGAUUCAGAUAUUGCAAGAGCCAGGGAAGAUGCUUGGGGGAAUGAUGAAGCUUUCUUUGCAUGGAAGUAUGAUCCUAGGAAUUAUGAGGAAAAGCUACAAGAGUUAAGGGUCCAGAAGGUAUUGCUUCAAUUAACAAGCAUUGUCGAAUCAAUGUCAGAUUUGAAAGCUCUACCUCAAGGUCUUGCUGCCCUUCUAAGAAAGGUGGAUCCAUCAACCCAAGGGCAAUUGAUUAAUGAGCUUCGUAAGGUGCUUGAUUGAUUCAUGGUAUGCCCUUUAAAAGUAAAUAUGGUUCUGCACCCACUUUCGGCUCUAGUUCCAUUCAACUGAGAAAGAAAUAUAUUUACAUCUCCAGUGCUAUUUGCGUACCCUCUGCAG
This 7425-nucleotide unclassified non-coding RNA is filed under the name Hevea brasiliensis (rubber tree). Lineage: Eukaryota; Viridiplantae; Streptophyta; Magnoliopsida; Malpighiales; Euphorbiaceae. The record is from RNAcentral.